This is a long non-coding RNA of Bombina bombina (fire-bellied toad), 299 nucleotides long. RefSeq lists it as uncharacterized. The record is from RefSeq and is a predicted model, not a curated record. The transcript has 2 exons. Lineage: Eukaryota; Metazoa; Chordata; Amphibia; Anura; Bombinatoridae.
UAUAUUUCUCUUUAUUUCAUGACUUUUUUUUUUUUUUGUCUUCACCUUAAUGUUUUUCUUUAGGUUAUACAAUCAUAUCCAAGUGUCUAGUAACUUAAUGUCCGGUUGUGACUACUCGCUCUUUAAGGAUGGUGUUGAACCUAUGUGGGAAGAUGAAAAGAAUAAGCGUGGAGGAAGAUGGUUAAUUACCUUAAACAAACAGCAAAGAAGAAAUGAUUUAGAUAGAUUUUGGCUUGAGACGGUAUGCGUUCUUGCUUGUGGGAUUUGUUAUUAGAAUAUAAAUGUUUGUUAAACAGUUA